This 155-nucleotide ribosomal RNA is filed under the name Clostridioides difficile. Its description in RNAcentral is "partial 23S ribosomal RNA". It matches the Rfam family "Bacterial large subunit ribosomal RNA", at positions 2775 to 2925 of the family's 2925-position model. The record is from RNAcentral. Lineage: Bacteria; Bacillati; Bacillota; Clostridia; Peptostreptococcales; Peptostreptococcaceae.
AAGCAUCUAAGCGCGAAGCCAACUUCAAGAUAAGAUUUCCCACCGCAAGGGUAAGACCCCAGAAAGACUAUCUGGUUGAUAGGUCGAAGGUGUAAGUGCAGCAAUGUAUUUAGCUUAUCGAUACUAAUAGGUCGAGGACUUGACCAAUAUUUAUU